CCAACAGAUGUUAAGCUGUAGCCAGGCCUGGAUUUCUUUGAGUGCUUUGAGAGGAGGUGUGGAAUGGAGCCCUCUGGGACUUGGUUGUAUCUAGUGAGCUGUGUGUGGUUGUAUCGGAUUUUACUGUACUGUGUAUAUGUGUAUGUAUCAGUGUGUUUAGGAUGGUGUGUGUUGACAGAUUUGCUUGUGUGUGAGUGUGUGUACACUUUCGCCUGUGUGUUUGUCAGUAUAUGUAGGAGUGUGUGAGUUUACAGGUUUGUUUGUGUGUAUGUGUUUGUAUGUGUGUACCUCUUGUGCGUGUGUGCAUGUAUGUGUGUGUGUGUGUCUGUGAUAUGCAUCUUUACAGGUGUGCUUGUGUGUAAGUAUGUGUGUAUCUGUUCCUAUGUGAUUGUGUUUUGUGUGAAUCUGGGUGUUUGUAAGAGAUUGUCUGCGUGAGUAUAUGUACACUUUUGUGUAUUUCUGUGUGUGCCUGUGUGUGCUUCUGUGUGUGCCUGUGUGUGUGUGUGCUGUGUGUCUGUGUGUCUGUGUGUGUGUGUGUGUGUGUACACGCACGUGCCCAUCCCCUUUUGCCCCUUGUAUCUAUAUUACCUGCACCUCAGUGCUAGAGAGUGUAGACGCCAGAAGUCAGCCUGGCUGCUGUUCCUGAGGUAGCAUUAGUACUGAUAAAAUGUCUACAGAGACUGAGGAGGAGUUACCACCUCCUAGUCCUGAUCCCAGUAUCUCUGAGGAGGGAACCUUUCAUUCCCAAUAUAAAGUAUUGAAGACUAUUGGAAAAGGAAGCCAUGCCAAGGUCCUCCUGGCCCACCACCGGCUCACAGGAACCCCGGUGGCCGUCAAAGUUCUCCGAAAGAACAAGCAGUGGUUCCGGCCAGCCAUGACAGAAGCAAACAUAAUGAGAAAGAUCAACCACCCCAACAUUGUUUCUCUCUUACAAGUUAUUGAAAAUAAAACUAGAAUAUACCUCAUAAUGGAGCUGGUGGAAGGCCAACAACUCUACCAGUACAUUAGAGAGUCAGGGCACAUAGAGGAGGAUGAGGCCCGGCAAAUAUUCGAACAGAUAUUAUCAGCAGUGAGCUACUGCCAUGGAAAGGGGAUUGUUCACCGAGACCUCAAACUGGACAAUAUAAUGAUUGAUAAAAACAAAAAGGUCAAAGUCAUCGACUUUGGGCUUAGCAUCCAAACACAACCUGGAGAAAUGCUAAACCAGCACUGCGGUGCAUACUCUUUUGGUUCCCCAGAACUCUUCCUUGGACUUCUGUAUGACGGGAUGAAGAAUGACAUGUGGACAAUAGGAGUGGUCUUGUAUUAUAUGGUAGUGGGAAAGCUCCCAUUUGAUUCAGUGAUCAUCCAAGAAUUACAAAAACAAGUUGUUGCAGGGGUGUAUCCUGCCCCCUGUGGGGUUUCAGAAGAACUGGAGAACCUCCUUAGUCAAUUACUAACAGUAAAUCCAAUGUAUAGACCAACAGCCAGCGAGGUGAUGAAACACGCCUGGUUCGAAGAACACGGGAAGGGGUUCACAGGUCGUUAUGAAGAACUGCUUCCCCUAACACCAGACCUUGCUAUUUUGGAUGCCAUGAAAAGCAUGGGAUUUCAAGCCUCUGUAAUAAAAUACUCUCUAAUGAAAAGAAAAUAUAAUGAGGAAAUGGCAACUUAUUGCUUCCUACAACAGCAGGCUCUCCAGGGGUAUGGCUGCACAGCCCAGGCACAGCAAGUGAGUCCCGUUGCAGCCCCAUUCCCUAGCCUUGAUCCUGCUGCUGCUUUUAGAUUAGAACAAAAGAGGGGUGGAAGCCUGCCAGUCCUUGGCACCUUGCGCGUGUCAUCCUCCCACGGUCAAGUAUCUCACUAUGGCCAGAAGGCUCAUCCAAAAGCAGGCAAAAGAACCACUGUGGCUGGUCAUCUCAGGCCACUACCAAUGACACCUACACAAGACCACUAUCACAAAUGUGCCAUGAGUGUCCCAUGCAUUCAAACAACAAGCAUCUUCAGUAAGAAGAGUAGCAACAAGGAAAUAAAAGAAGAUAAUCUACUCUCCCACAGAGCCCCAUUAGAGGAUAAGCCCAUCCCCAGCAGGGUCCGGCACAGAGGUUUUAAGGGGUGGACCAGGAAUAUAGCAAAUGCCCUGAUAAAGCUGUGUUGCUGCUUGCCAAGGAGAAAGAAACCUCGCCUGGGGCAGAACAGCAUCUCACCCCAGAAAUGAGCCACAGGGAGAGUCCAGAGAACAAGCAGCAGGCACAGCCCAGUGCCAUCUUGAAAUUGUCAUGUCCUGAGUAUAAACAGGAGGUGAUUUCAGACACAUGGCCAAGGAAAAGACACCAGCAGAAGCUACAGCACCAACAGGAGUAACAGCAAUAGCACCAGCAGCAUUAGCAGUAGCAGAAGGAGGAGGAGGAGGAGAAAGAGGAGGAAGAAGACGAGAAAAAUCUGGAGGAGUAGGAAUAGGAGGAGAGGAAGAGGAGGAGGAGGAUGAGGAGGAGGAUGAGGAGGAGGAUGAGGAUGAGGAUUUUGCUUCCCUGUUGUGGAAGUAUUGCUGAAUGACUUCUUAUGGAGACAGAUACCAUGCUGAGAAAUGUUUAUGAAAUGAAUUAUCAGAAUAUUAACCAUUCAUAGGACACAUGUCAAUACUCCUGAGGAGGAUCACCCCUGGAAGAUAGUUAGAUGGCAGUGCAAGCUGUGUGCAAUGUUCUUAAUGAGGACGAUCUUCUUAAAGCUGAUGAUGUAAUAGGUCUGAAGGAUCAUUUUGUGGGAGUCAGGGUCCCAUCUAUCUCUGUCCGGGCACACAGAGCUCCUGGCCUUGCAUCCUGCCAGGGAGGUGACCGGGAUUAUUGGCUUCCCCGGUCCUCUCAGGUUCUGGAUUGCUUGGUUACCCCUCAGUCAUGGUCUACCCUGUGCCUCAUGGUGUCAGGAGCUUCUAUGGGCUGAAUUUAAUCAGUGAUUCACUGGAGCUGGAUCUGAACCCAAACCACAGGGAAGCCCUGGGCACUGAGGACAAUAAGAGCAGCAGACAACAUCUCCUCCACUGCUUCUCUCUCUGCUCCACAAGCCAAGGCAGCUCCCACACAGCAGGCAUCCAGCCUAACUCCCAGCAGGGAGAGAGUGAAAUGUCUGAGGAUGAGCCCACAUUACAGUACGAUUCUGUGGGAAGACAUCUGGUAGCUUCUGGUGCAGCUGCGGCAGCCAGGACACAUGGAACUGCAGUGGAGGUGAGCUAUAGGACCAGGUAGCAAAGAGUCUGAUCUGGCCAAUGCUGAUCUGAAUCCCUGGGUGCAGGCAGAAAGGUCAGUCAGGGCUACACUGAAGGCCAGUCAAGGGCAUGCAAUGUGUCACUAACACUGUGUGUGACCACAUUCUGAAAGUCUUGUCCAGAAAAAAACAAGUGGUCUUGAGCACUGAGUUUCAGUCCCGACUCAUGGGGUACAGGAUAGCAGAUUGACCUGAGUAUGAAAUCGCAUGAAUAUGCCCUCUGGGUGCUCCCUGGGCUCAGGAUAGAUGGGCCCUGAGAAGGCACCAUUCAUGGGUCUGCAGGAGUAGGGGAGAGCUUGGCAUUCAUGAGGCACUCCUAACCCUUACUUGAGCCACUCUGGGGAGGAGAUGGCAUCAUUUGUGAGAUGGGCUUAUGUGGGACACUAUGCUUCGAUGUAUGGCACAGACAGCUCCUUUCCUUGCUGACAGUUCAGACCCACAGCUGGCCUCAUCUCAGACAGUCCCAUGAGGAGUGGUGUUUGGUUCCUGCUUCACAGUUAGGGCAGGAAAACACCUAGGAUACGAUGGGCCACUGCAGUGAGUACGGGCCAUGUGCCUGUCUUGUCCUUGCUUACUUGUUUUUUCCUCUUCCUCUUCCUCUUCCUCCUCCUCCUCCUCCUCCUCCUCCUCCUCCUCCCCCUCCUUCCCCUCUUCCUCCUCUUCCUCCUUCUCCUCUCCCUCCUCAUCCUUAUCCUCCUCCUCUUCCUCUUCUUCCUCCACCUAAUUUCAGGAGCCACCCAGAGACCUUCGCAGGAGUGUGGGUCACUCUAAUCAGAAUGCAGGGCUGGAGAUCAAAUUGUGGGUUAAGUUCUCUAUCCAGUCCUGUUUACUCCCCCACACACCCUGCCUACCUGAGAUUUCCAAAUUGGGUUCUCAGGGUCGUGGAGAAUCCUCUAAGGGUCGUGGAGAAUCCUCUACAGGCAGCCCUGCAGAUACAGCCAGUUUCUUGGGAACACUGGGUUUAGCAGGAGUCCUCUCCAUCAGGCUCAGAACCUUAGAGUGAGAGGGCUUGCUGAGUGGCACACCAGGACCAGAAAAAUGUAGAGCCCUCCAGUGGUAGUCAUGAAGUACUGCAGGAGUUUAUUUCCUGAUUUCUUUACUUCUACCUUGUUCUAAAGCCUUUUAAGGACCCCUAGGGACCAAAAAAACUUGAUUUUGGACCCCCAUAGCGCACCAGAGAGACUAAACAAGCAGCCCUGUGAAACUUCUGCAGAGGACAGUGUGGGCUCUGUGUUUAUAGAAUGGCUCUGGACUGGCAUGAAGGCUGAUUGACCAGCCAGUCACAGAGAGCUAGGGACAGUUAGAGACUUGGAGGAGAGAGCAUGAGCGGCAGAGACAGCAGAGUCGAGGCCUACAGAGGAGCCAGCUCAUUUAAUAGAGAAGCAUAUGCCCUCCCAAAAGGCUGUCAGCUUAAGACACUGCACUGAAGACCUUACCCAGUAACAUGCCUCAUUUAUAUGUCACCUACCUGUGGCUUGUGUAGGCUCCUCAGGGCAGAUCCUAAAGUCCAUCAUGACUGAAAAGCAGAAGUUUGCACAUCACUGCAAUGUGGAGGCUACUCUCAGCUGAUGGGACCCACACAGUCUGUGGACAAGUUUGCUUAAGUGAUAGUUGGCCGUCCUUGAACUCUCGGGUCUUCCAGGGUAGUGUGUGUUGACCACAUGCAGAGUCAUUCCUAAAGACAUAAGUGCCAAAAUUCAACAACAGGGAGAGAAUCCUGCACUGGAUGGAAUCACUCAGCCCAGUGUGGACACAAAGACAUCCUAUGCCAUGGCAUGGAGGCUCCCAAGAACUUCUAGGAUGAAUGUGAGGCACACAAGAGCCUACAGUGCAGCCUGGGAGAACAUUAAAGUAUCUGGAAUUAUCAGGGACCCUAAGGUUGAAGAGGCAGAGAAUGACCGCAGAGGUGACCAGUAUGUCCUCAGCUUGGACAACAAGUGUCUGCUCAAUCAUACAGACAGCUCACGACUAUCUCACCCAGCGAAACCUGAGACUGCACACUAGUGGACCAGCUGGUUCCUCAAGAGCUUAGCUCUCUCAAUGGCAUGAAGUUCAGGCACCACCUCUUCCUAUACUGACCUGGUGAAGACAGAACCCUGGAGGACAUUGUGGUCUGGGCAAGAGAUAUACAGCAGCCCUUUCUGUGCCAGCCAGCCUUAAGGUUGCUUGAGAUCAUUCCAGCAUCACCAGUCUCCAGCCUUUUCCAAGAAAGUCAAUUGUUGGCCCUUACCACUUCUGCCCACCACAUCAGUCUCCUUUCCCUGCCCACUUGUAGGAGACAGGGGGACCCAGCUCUGACAUGAUCCUAGGGCUUUGGAUGGGCUCUAUUUUUCCUGUUUGUGGCUGUAAGCUACUAGGAUUCUCAGGAGCAUAAGUGUAUGAGAGAAACAAGUGUCUUAUUAGACCUGAAGCAGCUUGUGCUCUGGUCUUAUCUGCUAGAGAAGAUGUCGUGAAGGGACAUGGGCAGUAGAGGGAGGUCUAUGACUGCAAAGCCUGCCUAGGCUCCAAGAACCCAGAGCUGGGUACUGCAGGAUUUCCUAGAUCACAACUCUGCAGUUCCUCUUCUCAUGUCUUGCUUUUACCUACUGUACCCAACACAAAGGCCUCCCUUGCAGUAUGUCUCAGUUCCAUAUGAGACUCUGCAAACCAGACAUCUUUGUACGAAAUGGAAAAGAACCCUUACUGCACAUCUCAGGUUGUGGAGGCUGGUCCAUCCUGUCUGACAGUGUUGCUGAGGCACUGGUAUAGGGCUGUUUGGGGUCUCCUCUCCUUACCUUAGCCAAGGAGGUCCAGGGCCAUCAAGCAGGUACUGUCCAUGGGCUCUGGAAAGGUUCAUGGUAUAUUAUCUACUCAUGGAGCCCUCAAGAUUUCUUUACUGCCCAGGGUCCAAAGAAGUAUUUGAUGUCCCUUUACUUGAAUAAGAGGAGACUUGACUGUCACUGCUGCUCACACGUUCUUGGUAGU
Non-coding RNA from Rattus norvegicus (Norway rat), 6204 nucleotides. NCBI's taxonomy places the organism in Eukaryota, Metazoa, Chordata, Mammalia, Rodentia, Muridae. The record is from RefSeq and is a predicted model, not a curated record.